RNAcentral lists this long non-coding RNA (1441 nucleotides) under Citrus x clementina. RNAcentral's name for it is "Citrus clementina (C. clementina) long non-coding RNA (CCLE_LNC002064)". Lineage: Eukaryota; Viridiplantae; Streptophyta; Magnoliopsida; Sapindales; Rutaceae. The record is from RNAcentral.
UUUUAUUUUGAAUAUUACAUCACAUUCAAACCAUGCAGGUCAAGACUCAACUAGAAGUAUUAUGUAGUCUAUAAUUAUAUGGAUCAAAAAUUUAUUGGAAUCUACUUUGAUGCUUAGAGUUGAAGUUCAAUCUAAAAAUAUUAAUUUCCACUCGGGAGACUAUACCCUUAAUCCAUGAAAGAGAUUAAAAAACAUUCAUUAGUCAUUACUUGGCUAAGGACAAUGAUUUAAAUCAUGUUGGUGUAUCAAUUUAAAAAAAAAAAAUACCGUAUACAUAAAAAAAAAAUCUCUCGAAUAUUAAUGUGAGCAAGAUUUGAGCUCAAUAUUUUUAUACCACCUAAACAAGCAUUUGAUAUGAUUAUUUUUAAAAUUUAUAUCAUUAUAUUUUAAAUAAAGUGUUUUGUUAUAUUAUGUCUCGUAAAAGAAAUGAUUAUUAGAAGAUUAUUUCUUUAAAAGAGUGAAAAUGCUUAAAACACUUUUUAAAAUUGCUCAUUUAGUUUUCCUUUUCUUCAAAACUAAAAUGAAAUGAAUUCAAAAAUCCAAACGAAAUAAAUGGGUGCCCGAAUCACAUGGGCAUUUAAAGGAUUUAUCAUAUGAAUAUACUUUUCUUUUUUUUCUUUUGGGAAGUGAAUAUACAAAAUUAAGAAAGAUGUAGAAAAAUCCAAUUUUAACUCUGCAAAAAGCAACAGUGAGUAAAAGCUGUCGGUAAGACCGUUGACGGCCCUGACCGAACACGCAAUCUUUUCCCCAAUCCAAACAAAACAAAAAGCUAACGACUUCAUGUUCACACUCUACUUUUCUAAUCUUUUGACCGUUCGUUUAAAAUUCUAUCAUCAUCCGACGGUAAGAGCUAAGAUAUUAUGGCCCACGGAAUGACAUGGCAAUCCGCUCUGAGUCAUUGAAUCAAUGGCGUAUCUAUGAUUAUACAUAGGUGAUCGUAAAAUGAUACGACAGCGUUUGGUUUCUGUCAUCUUCUUUAAAAGUUCCCAAACUACAGGCGCCUAGAUUUCGAUGACUGACACGGAGACUGGUCCUGUUGUUCAUGUUGAAUGUUCAAUUGCCGCUGACCAACAAUAAAAUAGAAAGACUGUAAACUUGAUCAAACUGAAAUUUUAGAUAUUUUCUAUUACAUUAGUCAGGAAAUUAAAAAAAAAAAAUCCUAAUUUGCUGAUAAUUAUCAUUUUGUAGAUAAAGUUAGAUUUUAUAUGAACUGCAUGAAAGUACAUCCCGACGAUAAAAUUUAUUAUGUAAUGUUCAAAUAAUAAUAAUAAUAACAAAAAACAAUACAAAAGGUACUACAAUAUCUAUCAAAGAUUAAGGACCUAUUAGAUACAAAAAAAUGAGAAACUAGUUCUUAGAUAAGAAUAUGUACAAACUUGGGGACAGCUAACGGGUUAUCACUGAUCCCGUAAUUCUAUUUCAUUUUUUAAAAUAAAACACC